RNAcentral lists this ribosomal RNA (765 nucleotides) under Salinimicrobium gaetbulicola. RNAcentral describes it as "bacterial SSU rRNA". It matches the Rfam family "Bacterial small subunit ribosomal RNA", at positions 84 to 845 of the family's 1533-position model. Lineage: Bacteria; Pseudomonadati; Bacteroidota; Flavobacteriia; Flavobacteriales; Flavobacteriaceae. The record is from RNAcentral.
ACCGCUGACGACCGGCGCACGGGUGCGUAACGCGUAUACAAUCUACCUUUUACAGGGGCAUAGCCCGGGGAAACCCGGAUUAAUAUCCCAUGGUAUCAUUUAGUGGCAUCACUUGAAUGAUUAAAGCUUCGGCGGUAAAAGAUGAGUAUGCGUUCUAUUAGCUAGAUGGUAAGGUAACGGCUUACCAUGGCUACGAUAGAUAGGGGUCCUGAGAGGGAGAUCCCCCACACUGGUACUGAGACACGGACCAGACUCCUACGGGAGGCAGCAGUGAGGAAUAUUGGACAAUGGGCGAGAGCCUGAUCCAGCCAUGCCGCGUGCAGGAAGACUGCCCUAUGGGUUGUAAACUGCUUUUAUACGGGAAGAAACACUCCUUCGUGAAGGAGCUUGACGGUACCGUACGAAUAAGGAUCGGCUAACUCCGUGCCAGCAGCCGCGGUAAUACGGAGGAUCCAAGCGUUAUCCGGAAUCAUUGGGUUUAAAGGGUCCGUAGGCGGGAUAAUAAGUCAGUGGUGAAAGUCUGCAGCUCAACUGUAGAACUGCCAUUGAAACUGUUGUCCUUGAGUAAUUAUGAAGUGGUUAGAAUAUGUAGUGUAGCGGUGAAAUGCAUAGAUAUUACAUAGAAUACCGAUUGCGAAGGCAGAUCACUAAUAAUUUACUGACGCUGAUGGACGAAAGCGUAGGUAGCGAACAGGAUUAGAUACCCUGGUAGUCUACGCCGUAAACGAUGGUUACUAGCUGUUUGGCUCGAUUGAGAGCUGAGUG